AGAGUUUGAUCCUGGCUCAGAACGACUUCUGGUAGCGUGGAUUAGGCAUGCAUGUCGAACGGGAUCCGAGGGGUAGCAAUAUUCCUUGGUGAGAGUGGCGGAUUGGGGAGGAACACGUGAGCAACCUGCCUUUGAGUUGGGGAAAACCGUUGGAAACGACGGCUAAUACCGGAUGUGGCGCCGGGUGACAUCACCGGAGCGCUAAAGGGGGCCGCAAGGCUCUCGCUCGUAGAGGGGCUCGCGCAUCAUCAGCUAGUUGGCGGGGUAACGGCCCACCAAGGCUUACGAUUAGCUGGUCUGAGAGGAUGACCAGCCCCACUGGGACUGAGAUACUGCCCAGACUCCUACGGGAGGCUGCAGUCGAGGAUCAUUUGCAAUGGGCGAAAGCCUGACAAUGCGACGCUGCGUGGAGGAUGAAGGCCUUCGGGUUGUAAACUCCUGUCAUAGUGGAACAGGCGAGGAUACCUAAUACGUAUCUUAGUUGAGUGUACAUUAAGAGGAAGCGACGGCUAACUCUGUGCCAGCAGCCGCGGUAAUACAGAGGUCGCAAGCGUUGUUCGGAUUUACUGGGCGUAAAGGGCGCGUAGGCGGUCUAGUGUGUCAGAUGUGAAAUCUCCGGGCUCAACCCGGAAAGUGCGUCUGAAACUGCUGGACUUGAGUCCGGGAGAGGGAAUCGGAAUACAGGGUGUAGCGGUGAAAUGCGUUGAUAUCCUGUAGAACAUCGGAGGCGAAGGCGGAUUCCUGGAACGGUACUGACGCUGAGGCGCGAAAGUCGGGGGAGCAAACAGGAUUAGAUACCCUGGUAGUCCCGACCUUAAACG
This 821-nucleotide ribosomal RNA is filed under the name uncultured bacterium. RNAcentral describes it as "bacterial SSU rRNA". It matches the Rfam family "Bacterial small subunit ribosomal RNA", at positions 8 to 808 of the family's 1533-position model. The record is from RNAcentral.